CCUACGGGGGGCUGCAGUGGGGAAUAUUGGACAAUGGGGGCAACCCUGAUCCAGCCAUGCCGCGUGUGUGAAGAAGGCCCUCGGGUUGUAAAGCACUUUCAGUGAGGAAGAACGCCUGGUGGUUAAUACCCAUCAGGAAAGACAUCACUCACAGAAGAAGCACCGGCUAACUCCGUGCCAGCAGCCGCGGUAAUACGGAGGGUGCGAGCGUUAAUCGGAAUUACUGGGCGUAAAGCGCGCGUAGGUGGCUUGAUAAGCCGGUUGUGAAAGCCCCGGGCUCAACCUGGGAACGGCAUCCGGAACUGUCAAGCUAGAGUGCAGGAGAGGAAGGUAGAAUUCCCGGUGUAGCGGUGAAAUGCGUAGAGAUCGGGAGGAAUACCAGUGGCGAAGGAGGCCUUCUGGACUGACACUGACACUGAGGUGCGAAAGCGUGGGUAGCAAACAGGAUUAGAUACCCCUGUAGUC
This 465-nucleotide ribosomal RNA is filed under the name Vreelandella stevensii. RNAcentral describes it as "partial 16S ribosomal RNA". It matches the Rfam family "Bacterial small subunit ribosomal RNA", at positions 338 to 795 of the family's 1533-position model. The record is from RNAcentral. Lineage: Bacteria; Pseudomonadati; Pseudomonadota; Gammaproteobacteria; Oceanospirillales; Halomonadaceae.